Molecule: ribosomal RNA, 427 nt
Filed under: uncultured bacterium
Lineage: Bacteria
Description: bacterial SSU rRNA
Rfam family: Bacterial small subunit ribosomal RNA
Source: RNAcentral
UGGGGAAUUUUGGACAAUGGACGCAAGUCUGAUCCAGCCAUGCCGCGUGCGGGAAGAAGGCCUUCGGGUUGUAGACUGCUUUUGUACGGAGCGAAAAGGUCUGCCCUAAUACGGUGGGCUCAUGACGGUACCGUAAGAAUAAGCACCGGCUAACUACGUGCCAGCAGCCGCGGUAAUACGUAGGGUGCGAGCGUUAAUCGGAAUUACUGGGCGUAAAGCGUGCGCAGGCGGUUAUAUAAGACAGAGGUGAAAUCCCCGGGCUCAACCUGGGAACUGCCUUUGUGACUGCAUAACUAGAGUACGGUAGAGGGGGAUGGAAUUCCGCGUGUAGCAGUGAAAUGCGUAGAUAUGCGGAGGAACACCGAUGGCGAAGGCACUCCCCUGGACCUGUACUGACGCUCAUGCACGAAAGCGUGGGGAGCAAACA